Myxocyprinus asiaticus (Chinese sucker) is the source of this 222-nucleotide long non-coding RNA. RefSeq lists it as uncharacterized. NCBI's taxonomy places the organism in Eukaryota, Metazoa, Chordata, Actinopteri, Cypriniformes, Catostomidae. The transcript is spliced from 4 exons. The record is from RefSeq and is a predicted model, not a curated record.
UGACGUGCGCACAGUGUGGCGGCAGACAGUGAUCAGAUAUGGCAAAGUCAAAGAACCACACCACACACAACCAGUCCCGCAAAUGGCACAGAAAUGGCAUAAAGAAGCCCAGAUCUCAGCGCUAUGAGUCCCUGAAGGGGCGCGAGUCCGAUAGUGAUACAUCGGAAGAUCAACCAGAACCACCAUCGCAAGCAUGAUGAGAACAGGACGUUUCUCAGUGGU